This 435-nucleotide ribosomal RNA is filed under the name uncultured bacterium. RNAcentral describes it as "partial 16S ribosomal RNA". It matches the Rfam family "Bacterial small subunit ribosomal RNA", at positions 29 to 507 of the family's 1533-position model. The record is from RNAcentral.
AACGAACGCUGGCGGCAGGCUUAACACAUGCAAGUCGAACGCAUGCCUUCGGGCAUGAGUGGCAGACGGGUGAGUAACGCGUGGGAACCUACCCCUUGGUACGGGAUAGCUCCGGGAAACUGGAGAUAAUACCGUAUGUGUCCUGAGGGACAAAGAUUCAUCGCCAAGGGAUGGGCCCGCGUCGGAUUAGCUAGUUGGUGGGGUAACGGCCUACCAAGGCGACGAUCCGUAGCUGGUCUAAGAGGAGGAUCAGCCACAUUGGGACUGAGACACGGCCCCAUCUCCUACGGGGGGGAGCGGUGGGUAGUAUUGGACGAGGGGCGCAAGCCUGAUACAGCCAUGCCGCGUGAGUGAUGAAGGCCCUAGGAUUGUAAAGCUCUUUCACCGGUGACGAGAAUGACGGUAACCGGAGAAGAAGCCCCGGCUAACUUCGUG